UUUUAGAUUCCACAUGUAAGUGAUAGCAUAUGGUAUUUGUCUUUCUGAUUCACUUAGUUGUGAUAAUUUCGACUGCAUCCAUGUUGCUGCAAAUGGCAUUAUUUCAUCAUUUUUUGUGGCGGAGUAAUAUUCCAUUGUAAAUAUGUACCACAUCUUCUUUAUCCAUGCCUCUGUGGAUGGACAUUUAGGUUGCUUCCAUGUAUUGGCUUUUGUAAAUAGUGCUGCUGUGAUCGUAGGGGUGCAUGUGUCUUUUUGAGUUAAGAUUUUCUCCAGAUCGAUGGCCAGGAGUGGGAUUGCUGGAUCAUAUGGUAGUUCUAUUUUUAGUUUUUUGAGGAACUCCAUACUGUUUUCCACAGUGGUUGUACCCAUUUACCCUCCCACCAAUAGUGUAGGAGGGCUCUCUUUUCUCCAAACUCUCUCCAGCAUUUAUUGUUUGUAGAUGUUUUAAUUAUGGUCUGAUUGGUGUAAAGUGCUACCUAAUAGUAGUUUUGAUUUUCAUUUCUCUAAUAAUUAGUUGAGCAUCUUUUCAUGUGUUUUUUUGGUUAUCUAUAUGUCUUCUUUGGAGAAAGAAAUGUCUAUUUAGAUCUUCUCCCCAUUUUUUGAAUGAGUUGAGUGUGUAUUUUGGAGAUGCAUCCCUUGUCAUUCGCAUCAUUUGCAAAUUUUUUCUCCCAUUCUGUGGGUUGUCUUUUCAUUUUGUUUAUGGUUUCUUUUGCUGUGCAAAAACUUUUAAGUUUAAUUAGGUUAAAAAUAAUCUAUAUUAUUUUUCCAUUAAAAAUUAAAGGAAGAGUUUUGCAAGAUAAAAAGUUCUAGAGAUCUGUACACAACAUGAAUGAACUGGACACCACUGAACUGAACACUUAAAAAUGGCCACAAUGGUGCAUUUUAAAGUGAUGUACUUUUUAGCACAAUCUUUCAAAAGGGUGGGGGAAGAAUAGGCAAGUUUCAGGAAAGUUGGAAAAGAUUAAAAACUAACAAUAGAUAAAAUCUAAUCCCCAAAGACCAUUAAUUAAUGAAUAACACUUAGACACUUUUCCUGCUGUCCUCUCGCAGCUCUGAUGCCCCCAUCCCCAGGAAGGCCUUACAGACACCACAGGUCCAGGGAGGGGGACGCGAUGGGGGGGGAUAUUCUCCCUUCGCGUUGGCCCAGCUCCCCUGGGCCCUUCAUCUGCACCCUUGCAUGAGGACUGUCCCCAGUGGCUUCAGUGGAACGUCCUCUUGGGGAUAUUGGGCACAUAGCUUGCUUGCUGAGAGAGGUCAGUGCUGCUGGGGCUCUGGGGUCAGGCAGGUGCACUGAGCUUGGCUCUCCCCACAGGGCUCGGGGCUGUAACUGCAGUCUUGCAGGAUCCCCGGCAGCAGUGGUAGGAGUGUGAAGUUCCUCUCUUGGAGUCUGGCUCAUACCCCAUACGCAUCUAUCUGUCUGGAUUGUAGAAGACAGCCUUGCUCACUUUAGCCCCUGGGGCUAUAAAAAAAUUAAGUCUGCAUUAAGGAAAAUAGAAAGUGACCUAGUGAUGAUGUAUUUGGAAGGUAGGUUUGGGGGUGGGUAUGAUGGAAGAAUUUAUACUCAGCCACUUUUUGUUUAAAAUUCUGCUGUGUCACAAUAGGAUUGGUGUUGUCCUGGGAGCACUGGUACUUGGGUUUGAUUCCCUGCCCGGCACAGUGGGUUAAGGAUCCGGUUUUGCCACAGUUGAUGCUUAGGUUGAGACUGGGGCUCAGAUCCAAUCCCUGACUCGGGAGCUCCAUAUGCCGUGGGC
Molecule: long non-coding RNA, 1751 nt
Filed under: Sus scrofa (pig)
Lineage: Eukaryota; Metazoa; Chordata; Mammalia; Artiodactyla; Suidae
Description: lncRNA (ENSSSCG00065020535.1)
Source: RNAcentral